GUCUCUACGAAGACAUCUGAUAAAUUUGGAACAAUACAUAGAAGAUUAACAUAUGCCCCCUGCGCUAAGGAUAAUAGGAAUAAAUUGAGAAUUGUCCGUUUUU
This is a non-coding RNA of Spinacia oleracea (spinach), 103 nucleotides long. The record is from Rfam. NCBI's taxonomy places the organism in Eukaryota, Viridiplantae, Streptophyta, Magnoliopsida, Caryophyllales, Amaranthaceae.